This 390-nucleotide unclassified non-coding RNA is filed under the name soil metagenome. Its description in RNAcentral is "partial contains 5.8S ribosomal RNA, internal transcribed spacer 2, and large subunit ribosomal RNA". The stretch from base 1 to 122 matches the Rfam family "5.8S ribosomal RNA", at positions 35 to 154 of the family's 154-position model. The record is from RNAcentral.
GAUGAAGAACGUAGCGAAAUGCGAUACUUGGUGUGAAUUGCAGAAUCCCGUGAACCAUCGAGUCUUUGAACGCAAGUUGCGCCCGAAGCCAUUAGGCCGAGGGCACGCCUGCCUGGGCGUCACACGUCGUUGCCCCCCCAUCUACUCCUUCGGGAUUGCGGGGGGCGGAUGAUGGCCUCUCGUGCGCCUCGUCGCGCGGUUGGCCUAAAUGCCAAGUCCUCGGCGACGCACGCCACGACAAUCGGUGGUUGCGAAACCUCGGUUGCCUGUCGUGUGCGGUCGUCGCGCAUCGAGGGCUCGAAAAAAUUGCCGGGCUUCGGCUCGACUUUCAACGCGACCCCAGGUCAGGCGGGGUUACCCGCUGAAUUUAAGCAUAUCAAUAAGCGGAGG